RNAcentral lists this ribosomal RNA (253 nucleotides) under uncultured bacterium. RNAcentral describes it as "partial 16S ribosomal RNA". It matches the Rfam family "Bacterial small subunit ribosomal RNA", at positions 524 to 776 of the family's 1533-position model. The record is from RNAcentral.
UACGUAGGGUGCAAGCGUUAAUCGGAAUUACUGGGCGUAAAGCGUGCGCAGGCGGUUAUGUAAGUCAGAUGUGAAAUGCCCGGGCUUAACCUGGGAACUGCAUUUGUGACUGCAUGGCUAGAGUUUGGCAGAGGGGGGUAGAAUUCCACGUGUAGCAGUGAAAUGCGUAGAUAUGUGGAGGAACACCGAUGGCGAAGGCAGCCCCCUGGGUCAAGACUGACGCUCAUGCACGAAAGUGUGGGGAGCAAACAGG